Ictalurus punctatus (channel catfish) is the source of this 1360-nucleotide long non-coding RNA. Lineage: Eukaryota; Metazoa; Chordata; Actinopteri; Siluriformes; Ictaluridae. The record is from Ensembl.
CUCUCAGGCUCUUGGCAGCCAUGGAGCUGCACCUUCAGGACAUGCUAAAUGGUACACCAUUGUACAAGGUCAGACAAUUCCAUCUUCUCAAGCGUCUGGAUCCCAGACCCAGUCAUCAUACCAGCCUAGCACUACAACACUGCUUCAGACAGGCCAGCCUGUUCUUCCUCAGAGUCAGCCUUCGGGAGCUUCUGCUCCAUAUCCAAGUCAAACCUCUGGCGUGUACAAUAUUGCACAGCGUCCAUUGACUGCAACCCUUUCCGAAAUACCUGGGUUCCACAUCCAGUCAUCAUACCAGCCUGGCACUACAACACUGCUUCAGACAGGCCAGUCUGCGUCUACAUCUCAGGCUCAGUCCUCUGGCGCAUCAACAUUGUAUCAAGGAUUAGGAGGAAUGUGACUUCUCUGGGUCAUGGCUUUCCAUACUCAACCCAGUCUGUGGUGACUGCAAACCAGACAUCUGGAUCCCAGACCCAGUCAUCAUACCAGCCUGGCACCACAACACUGCUUCAGACAGGCCUGUCUGCUUCUACAUCUCAGGCUCAGUCCUCUGGUGCCUCAACAUUCUAUCAAGGGAUUAGCUCUGGCAGGUAUCUGACUUCACUGGGUCAGAGCAUUCCAUCCUCCUCCCACUCUGUGGUCACUACAAAAAAAAUCUCUGGAUUGCAGGACCAGUCAUUUCAGCCUGACACCACAACAAAUGCUUUGGUGGGUCAGUCUGCUUCUACAUCUUUGGCUCACGGCAACUUUCAGGCUCCAAAUUGGCAUACGAUAACUCCUCCUAGAUUCCAUAAUUUGCUACGGAACGUGUCGGUUUCUCAAUCUCUGAGCUCUGAUCCCCAAACAAGAACAAUCAACAAUAUUUUGCCGUUUCUGAACCAAAGUGCUGGGACUUCUGCCAUGUCCUCAGAAUAAUGUACAGACCCCAGCAUUUCACACAAUCUACACACUUCUCACCUGUCCCACAAACUGUUGCCACUCCCCCAGUCUCUCUACCCAAGCCUUGCCGACAGACACAAUGCUCAAUGGUGGAGAGUGCAAUUGCCUCUAUAGCAUCCAGCCAACCUCUCCUCGUGUUGCCACAUCUCAAGGCACAGGCUCUUUUGCUGCUGUACCCAUUCCAGGUACCUCACAGAAUUUUGCAGGCAUUGAUUUCCAGGGUACAUUGCCAGUACAUGACCAGUACAGCUCGGUGUGUAACUUUCCAUUUGGUUUCUGCAAUUCUCCUCAAGGAGCUGCAAACAACAAAUUUGUUCGAAGCCAGAGUGUACAGACACAACACCUGUGAACCAAGAAUUCAUGGGACACUUUCUGGAAUCAGUGCCUCAUCAGCAUUCUGUGUUCCACAAAGCUUUUCCCA